RNAcentral lists this microRNA precursor (101 nucleotides) under Podarcis lilfordi (Lilford's wall lizard). The record is from RNAcentral. Lineage: Eukaryota; Metazoa; Chordata; Lepidosauria; Squamata; Lacertidae.
UGUCCAGUAGCACCUUAGAGACAAACUAAGUUUGUUCUGGGUAUAAGCUUUCGUGUGCAUGCACGAACAAACUUAGUUGGUCUCUAAGGUGCUACUGGACA